CAGUAGCCACGGGAAUACGAGGGGGGCAAGCGUUGUUCGGAAUUAUUGGGCGUAAAGGGUGCGUAGGCGGCUUGACAAGUCUUGUGUGAAAUCUAUGGGCUCAACCCAUAGUCUGCACGGGAAACUGUCGGGCUUGAGAAUGGGAGAGGUGAGUGGAAUUUCCGGUGUAGCGGUGAAAUGCGUAGAUAUCGGAAGGAACACCUGUGGCAAAAGCGGCUCACUGGACCAUUUCUGACGCUGAUGCAUGAGAGCUAGGGGAGCAAACAGGAUUAGAGACCCCGGUAGUCCCUGUCUCUUAUAA
RNAcentral lists this ribosomal RNA (301 nucleotides) under uncultured bacterium. Its description in RNAcentral is "partial 16S ribosomal RNA". It matches the Rfam family "Bacterial small subunit ribosomal RNA", at positions 509 to 809 of the family's 1533-position model. The record is from RNAcentral.